RNAcentral lists this ribosomal RNA (319 nucleotides) under uncultured bacterium. RNAcentral describes it as "bacterial SSU rRNA". It matches the Rfam family "Bacterial small subunit ribosomal RNA", at positions 28 to 334 of the family's 1533-position model. The record is from RNAcentral.
GAUGAACGCUAGCGACAGGCUUAACACAUGCAAGUCGAGGGGCAGCGGGGGCGGAAGCUUGCUUUCGCCCGCCGGCGACCGGCGCACGGGUGAGUAACACGUAUGCAACCUGGCCGCCACAGGGGGAUAACCCGCGGAAACGCGGCCUAAUACCCCGUGACGCCACCGGAGGGCAUCCUCCGGUGGCCAAAGGAGCGAUCCGGUGGCGGAUGGGCAUGCGGCGCAGUAGCUAGACGGCGGGGUGACGGCCCACCGUGGCGACGAUGCGUAGGGGUUCUGAGAGGAAGGCCCCCCACACUGGUACUGAGACACGGACCAG